This is a non-coding RNA of Pantoea sp. PSNIH1, 115 nucleotides long. The record is from Rfam. Lineage: Bacteria; Pseudomonadati; Pseudomonadota; Gammaproteobacteria; Enterobacterales; Erwiniaceae.
GCGGGCUGCUGAAUUAGAGAUCGGCACCCAUACAUUCAUUUUUUUACUGGAGUUUAUUAUGUCUCUAAGCGUAGAAGCUAAAGCAGAGAUCGUUGCUAAAUAUGGUCGUGGCGCU